CAGUAGCCGCGGGAAUACGUAGGUGGCAAGCGUUGUCCGGAAUUAUUGGGCGUAAAGGGCUCGCAGGUGGUUUCUUAAGUCUGAUGUGAAAGCCCCCGGCUCAACCGGGGAGGGUCAUUGGAAACUGGGAAACUUGAGUGCAGAAGAGGAGAGUGGAAUUCCACGUGUAGCGGUGAAAUGCGUAGAGAUGUGGAGGAACACCAGUGGCGAAGGCGACUCUCUGGUCUGUAACUGACGCUGAGGAGCGAAAGCGUGGGGAGCGAACAGGAUUAGAUACCCCUGUAGUCCCUGUCUCUUAUAC
RNAcentral lists this ribosomal RNA (301 nucleotides) under uncultured bacterium. RNAcentral describes it as "partial 16S ribosomal RNA". It matches the Rfam family "Bacterial small subunit ribosomal RNA", at positions 509 to 807 of the family's 1533-position model. The record is from RNAcentral.